RNAcentral lists this ribosomal RNA (800 nucleotides) under Herennia sp. FAPDNA031. RNAcentral's name for it is "eukaryotic LSU rRNA". It matches the Rfam family "Eukaryotic large subunit ribosomal RNA", at positions 82 to 524 of the family's 3401-position model. The record is from RNAcentral. Lineage: Eukaryota; Metazoa; Arthropoda; Arachnida; Araneae; Nephilidae.
AGUACGGCGAGCGACAGGGAGAGCCCAGCGCCGAAUCCCGCCCCGGAGACGGGGCCGGGAAAUGUGGCGUUCGGGAGGACGGCAGGCCGAAGGCAGGCGCAGCAGCAAGUCCCCCUGACCGGGGCUGCCAAUCCAGAGCGGGUGCCAGGCCCGUGGCUGCAGUGCCGGCCGGCGGCGGUCGCCUCCCAGGAGUCGGGUUGCUUGGGAGUGCAGCCCUAAUCGGGAGGUAAACUCCUCCUAAGGCUAAAUACGGCCGCGAGACCGAUAGCAAACAAGUACCGUGAGGGAAAGUUGCAAAGAACUUUGAAGAGAGAGUUCAAGAGUACGUGAAACUGCUCAGAGGGAAACGGGUGGGCCCUCGAAGUCCGGCGGCGGGAGGAUUCAGUCGCGAACACUCGGAGGACAGCCGGGCGCGCCGCGCCGCCCCUGAAGGGCGGAGGCGAGCGCCAAGUCGGAGACGUCGCUUCCUUGUGGUCCGGCGCAUUUCCUUCCCGCCCUGAGGACGCCGCCACCGGUCGGGUGCCAGAGCGGCCGUGAGGACGGGAGCCGGCAGGGGGCCGGGGGACAGCCUUAGCGCUGGCCUCCGGUCUUUGGCCUUCCUGUCCGGGCACGCCACCCGACCGAUUCGAACCAAGAGGUCCCCUGGACCUCGCCGCCUCCUUUCCUCCUGCAGGGAGCGGACGCCGCGGCAGGAGUGCCCCGUCCCUUCGCCACACGGGAUAGACCCGGGGGCGGAGGGAUCGAGACUUUUGGCUUCGCUGGCCGCGGACUUUUCCGCGGGAGGAUGCCUCGGCGGUCUG